GUUGCCAGCAUUUAAGGUGGGGACUCAGAUGAGACUGCCGGUGACAAACCGGAGGAAGGUGGGGACGACGUCAAGUCAUCAUGGCCCUUAUGUCCUGGGCUACACACGUGCUACAAUGGCCGGUACAGAGUGAAGCGAAACCGCGAGGUGAAGCAAAACGCAGAAAGCCGGUCUCAGUACGGAUUGGAGUCUGAAACUCGACUUCGUGAAGUUGGAAUCGCUAGUAAUCGCGCAUCAGCAUGGCGCGGUGAAUACGUUCCCGGGCCUU
RNAcentral lists this ribosomal RNA (268 nucleotides) under uncultured Spirochaeta sp. Its description in RNAcentral is "partial 16S ribosomal RNA". It matches the Rfam family "Bacterial small subunit ribosomal RNA", at positions 1114 to 1382 of the family's 1533-position model. Lineage: Bacteria; Pseudomonadati; Spirochaetota; Spirochaetia; Spirochaetales; Spirochaetaceae. The record is from RNAcentral.